Molecule: long non-coding RNA, 477 nt
Organism: Coregonus clupeaformis (lake whitefish)
Lineage: Eukaryota; Metazoa; Chordata; Actinopteri; Salmoniformes; Salmonidae
Exons: 3
Source: RefSeq, a predicted model, not a curated record
CUCGGAGUACAUGCCCUGAAGAUGACACAGCGGAAAUUUUGUGAAGAAGAAGUCAAAAUUGAUGACACAGUUUUGACAUGUUUGAAGUUGGUGCAACAGUCACCAGCACCCAGGCAGUCGUCGGAGCAGUGGCACCUGCUCUCCGUCAACCUCUUUUCUCCACAGCGCAGGUCUCAGACUCCAGGAUGGGAAAAUACUUAACAAGAAAGAAACGGAUGAAGACACAGAAGGGGACCACGAGACCCUAUGUUGUAUUUUCAAUAGUUAAUCUGUUGUCAAUUUCUAUUCUGAUUUUUAUUGUUAAAAAGGCUAGAAAAAGACACCCCUGUUUAUCUGAAUUAGCUAGGCUACUCACUAUAGGCUAGAGAUUUGAGUCACUGCAAUUAAAAUUGUUCUUACUAUGUAUUGCAUGUUUGAGGAGACUACUCUAUAUACUGUUAUAAAUACAUUUACAUUUUAGUCAUUUAGCAGACGCUC